AACGAACGGAGGAGAGCUUGCUCUCCAAUGUUAGUGGCGGACGGGUGUGUAACACGUGAGCAACCUACCCAACGGCGGGGGAUAGCCGGCCUAACGGCCGGGUAAUGCCGCGUAACGCUUUGGUGCCGCAUGGCACCGUAGUGAAAGCGGCCUUCGGGUCGCACCGAUGGAGGGGCUCGCGGCCUAUCAGCUUGUUGGUGGGGUAACGGCCUACCAAGGCAACGACGGGUAGCUGGUCUGAGAGGAUGACCAGUCACAUUGGGACUGAGAUACGGCCCAGACUCCUACGGGAGGCAGCAGUGGGGAAUAUUGCGCAAUGGCCGCAAGGCUGACGCAGCGACGCCGCGUGUGGGAUGACGGCCUUCGGGUUGUAAACCACUGUCAGGGGGGACGAAUACUCGGCUGCGAAUAGCAGACCGAGGGUGACGGUACCCCCAAAGGAAGCACCGGCUAACUCCGUGCCAGCAGCCGCGGUAAGACGGAGGGUGCAAGCGUUGUCCGGAAUCACUGGGCGUAAAGCGCGCGUAGGCGGUUGUCUAAGUCAUCUGUGAAAGCCCGGG
Molecule: ribosomal RNA, 560 nt
Filed under: uncultured bacterium
Lineage: Bacteria
Description: bacterial SSU rRNA
Rfam family: Bacterial small subunit ribosomal RNA
Source: RNAcentral